Molecule: unclassified non-coding RNA, 270 nt
Filed under: uncultured fungus
Lineage: Eukaryota; Fungi
Description: partial contains small subunit ribosomal RNA, internal transcribed spacer 1, and 5.8S ribosomal RNA
Rfam family: Eukaryotic small subunit ribosomal RNA (bases 1-73)
Source: RNAcentral
UCAAACUUGGUCAUUUAGAGGAAGUAAAAGUCGUAACAAGGUCUCCGUUGGUGAACCAGCGGAGGGAUCAUUACCGAGUUUACAACUCCCAAACCCCAUGUGAACCUAUACCUGUUUUACCGUUGCUUCGGCGGGCUCACCCGCCCGUCGAGGGGACAAACCAAACUCUUGUAUCUCUGUACUGUAAGCAUGUCUGAGUGGUAUGAAAAGAAAUGAAUCAAAACUUUCAACAACGGAUCUCUUGGUUCUGGCAUCGAUGAAGAACGCAGC